RNAcentral lists this ribosomal RNA (774 nucleotides) under uncultured Lactobacillus sp. Its description in RNAcentral is "bacterial SSU rRNA". It matches the Rfam family "Bacterial small subunit ribosomal RNA", at positions 28 to 776 of the family's 1533-position model. The record is from RNAcentral. Lineage: Bacteria; Bacillati; Bacillota; Bacilli; Lactobacillales; Lactobacillaceae.
GACGAACGCUGGCGGCGUGCCUAAUACAUGCAAGUCGAGCGAGCUGAAUUCAAAGAUUCCUUCGGGAUGAUUUGUUGGACGCUAGCGGCGGAUGGGUGAGUAACACGUGGGCAAUCUGCCCUAAAGACUGGGAUACCACUUGGAAACAGGUGCUAAUACCGGAUAACAACAUGAAUCGCAUGAUUCAAGUUUGAAAGGCGGCGCAAGCUGUCACUUUAGGAUGAGCCCGCGGCGCAUUAGCUAGUUGGUGGGGUAAAGGCCUACCAAGGCAAUGAUGCGUAGCCGAGUUGAGAGACUGAUCGGCCACAUUGGGACUGAGACACGGCCCAAACUCCUACGGGAGGCAGCAGUGAGGAAUAUUGGUCAAUGGGCGGAAGCCUGAACCAGCCAAGUAGCGUGCAGGAAGACGGCCCUAUGGGUUGUAAACUGCUUUUAUGCGGGGAUAAAGUGAGGGACGUGUCCUUCAUUGCAGGUACCGCAUGAAUAAGGACCGGCUAAUUCCGUGCCAGCAGCCGCGGUAAUACGGAAGGUCCGGGCGUUAUCCGGAUUUAUUGGGUUUAAAGGGAGCGUAGGCCGUGGAUUAAGCGUGUUGUGAAAUGCAGGUGCUCAACGUCUGCACUGCAGCGCGAACUGGUCCACUUGAGUGUGCGCAACGCAGGCGGAAUUCGUCGUGUAGCGGUGAAAUGCUUAGAUAUGACGAAGAACUCCGAUUGCGAAGGCAGCUUGCGGGAGCACAACUGACGCUGAAGCUCGAAAGUGCGGGUAUCGAACAGG